RNAcentral lists this ribosomal RNA (1225 nucleotides) under Bacillus licheniformis. Its description in RNAcentral is "bacterial SSU rRNA". It matches the Rfam family "Bacterial small subunit ribosomal RNA", at positions 138 to 1348 of the family's 1533-position model. The record is from RNAcentral. Lineage: Bacteria; Bacillati; Bacillota; Bacilli; Caryophanales; Bacillaceae.
CUGGGAUAACUCCGGGAAACCGGGGCUAAUACCGGAUGCUUGAUUGAACCGCAUGGUUCAAUCAUAAAAGGUGGCUUUUAGCUACCACUUACAGAUGGACCCGCGGCGCAUUAGCUAGUUGGUGAGGUAACGGCUCACCAAGGCGACGAUGCGUAGCCGACCUGAGAGGGUGAUCGGCCACACUGGGACUGAGACACGGCCCAGACUCCUACGGGAGGCAGCAGUAGGGAAUCUUCCGCAAUGGACGAAAGUCUGACGGAGCAACGCCGCGUGAGUGAUGAAGGUUUUCGGAUCGUAAAACUCUGUUGUUAGGGAAGAACAAGUACCGUUCGAAUAGGGCGGUACCUUGACGGUUCCUAACCAGAAAGCCACGGCUAACUACGUGCCAGCAGCCGCGGUAAUACGUAGGUGGCAAGCGUUGUCCGGAAUUAUUGGGCGUAAAGCGCGCGCAGGCGGUUUCUUAAGUCUGAUGUGAAAGCCCCCGGCUCAACCGGGGAGGGUCAUUGGAAACUGGGGAACUUGAGUGCAGAAGAGGAGAGUGGAAUUCCACGUGUAGCGGUGAAAUGCGUAGAGAUGUGGAGGAACACCAGUGGCGAAGGCGACUCUCUGGUCUGUAACUGACGCUGAGGCGCGAAAGCGUGGGGAGCGAACAGGAUUAGAUACCCUGGUAGUCCACGGCGUAAACGAUGAGUGCUAAGUGUUAGAGGGUUUCCGCCCUUUAGUGCUGCAGCAAACGCAUUAAGCACUCCGCCUGGGGAGUACGGUCGCAAGACUGAAACUCAAAGGAAUUGACGGGGGCCCGCACAAGCGGUGGAGCAUGUGGUUUAAUUCGAAGCAACGCGAAGAACCUUACCAGGUCUUGACAUCCUCUGACAACCCUAGAGAUAGGGCUUCCCCUUCGGGGGCAGAGUGACAGGUGGUGCAUGGUUGACGUCAGCUCGUGUCGUGAGAUGUUGGGUUAAGUCCCGCAACGAGCGCAACCCUUGAUCUUAGUUGCCAGCAUUCAGUUGGGCACUCUAAGGUGACUGCCGGUGACAAACCGGAGGAAGGUGGGGAUGACGUCAAAUCAUCAUGCCCCUUAUGACCUGGGCUACACACGUGCUACAAUGGGCAGAACAAAGGGCAGCGAAGCCGCGAGGCUAAGCCAAUCCCACAAAUCUGUUCUCAGUUCGGAUCGCAGUCUGCAACUCGACUGCGUGAAGCUGGAAUCGCUAGUAAUCGCGGA